Molecule: long non-coding RNA, 433 nt
Organism: Topomyia yanbarensis
Lineage: Eukaryota; Metazoa; Arthropoda; Insecta; Diptera; Culicidae
Exons: 2
Source: RefSeq, a predicted model, not a curated record
UGCAAAAGGUUGCGCGAACGCACCGCACGGAAAAGGCCUUCCAAAGGAAGGCCUUUAUUUUCAGGUCUGAAUCAGAGCGUACGGACUGCAAGCGGGUUCGGUCAGCAACCUACGAGGAAAGACGGCAGUACAGAACGAAUCGAUCGGCUCUGAGUCUUCGACGACGACUAUACUUCACACCAGCACGGAGGAUAAGUUAUCCGCGGGAGCAUGACGGCACGGCCCAUUGGUGUGAACUGCAGUAUGCAUCUCCGGGAAAAAACGGCGUGGCGGACAUGGUAGGGGUGCACCCACAGCAAGCGUGAGUAAGAAGAAAAGAGAAUAGGUAGAAUAAGUAGAUAGAGGAGAAGAGAGAACAGAAGGAGUAAUGAGUAAAAUAAAAAGCAGAUAAAGCAGGGCAAUGGAAGGAGAAUAAAGUUUGUGUCGAUGAAAA